UUGGACCAUACUCCAUUCACAGAGGGAGCCAGUGUUAAAUGACAGGAUCAUGUCACAUGAAGUCUAUUGUCUCAUCUGGAUGUUUGCGCUGUUCCUAGGAAAUCUGUCCUUCUACGUGGAGCAGUCUCCUUCUAUUGUUUCGAUUACGAGAGGGGACUCAGAUACACUUAAAUGCAUGCUGAAGAAUACAGCUUACAGCUAUAUGUACUGGUACAGACAGCAACCCAGCCGGGCAAUAGAAGCUUUAUUCUACUCUACUGGUGAAGGUUUAGCUACAAAUUACACAUCGGAAUCUUAUCAGGCUAAAAGACCCAGUGAAACGACGUUUACUUUAGAACUGAAAGGUGCCUCUCCAUCUCACACGGCUGUCUAUUUCUGCGCGUGCAGUAGCACACAUUGUUUAAGUUAA
Molecule: non-coding RNA, 409 nt
Organism: Rhincodon typus (whale shark)
Lineage: Eukaryota; Metazoa; Chordata; Chondrichthyes; Orectolobiformes; Rhincodontidae
Source: the annotation of a RefSeq genome assembly